ACGGGAGGCAGCAGUGAGGAAUAUUGGUCAAUGGACGAGAGUCUGAACCAGCCAAGUAGCGUGAAGGAUGACUGCCCUAUGGGUUGUAAACUUCUUUUGUGCGGGAAUAAAAAACGGAACGUGUUCCGUCUUGCAGGUACCGCUUGAAUAAGGACCGGCUAAUUCCGUGCCAGCAGCCGCGGUAAUACGGAAGGUCCGAGCGUUAUCCGGAUUUAUUGGGUUUAAAGGGAGCGUAGGCGGAUGUGCAAGCCAGCCGUAAAAUCGUUGAGCUCAACUCAAUCUCGCGGUUGGAACUGCAUGUCUUGAGUGCGGCAGAGGUAGGUGGAAUUCGUGGUGUAGCGGUGAAAUGCAUAGAUAUCACGAAGAACUCCGAUUGCGAAGGCAGCUUACUGGACCGUAACUGACGCUGAUGCUCGAAGGUGUGGGUAUCAAACAGGAUUAGAUACCCUGGUA
RNAcentral lists this ribosomal RNA (453 nucleotides) under uncultured Bacteroides sp. RNAcentral's name for it is "partial 16S ribosomal RNA". It matches the Rfam family "Bacterial small subunit ribosomal RNA", at positions 341 to 792 of the family's 1533-position model. The record is from RNAcentral. Lineage: Bacteria; Pseudomonadati; Bacteroidota; Bacteroidia; Bacteroidales; Bacteroidaceae.